Molecule: ribosomal RNA, 453 nt
Filed under: uncultured Thiobacillus sp.
Lineage: Bacteria; Pseudomonadati; Pseudomonadota; Betaproteobacteria; Nitrosomonadales; Thiobacillaceae
Description: bacterial SSU rRNA
Rfam family: Bacterial small subunit ribosomal RNA
Source: RNAcentral
CACAAGCGGUGGAUGAUGUGGAUUAAUUCGAUGCAACGCGAAAAACCUUUACCUACCCUUGACAUGUCCGGAAUCCUGCAGAGAUGCGGGAGUGCCGAAAGGGAAUCGGAACACAGGUGCUGCAUGGCUGUCGUCAGCUCGUGUCGUGAGAUGUUGGGUUAAGUCCCGCAACGAGCGCAACCCUUAUCAUUAGUUGCUACGCAAGGGCACUCUAAUGAGACUGCCGGUGACAAACCGGAGGAAGUGGGGAUGACGUCAAGUCCUCAUGGCCCUUAUGGGUAGGGCUUCACACGUCAUACGAUGGUCGGUACAGAGGGUUGCCAAGCCGCGAGGUGGAGCCAAUCCCAGAAAGCCGAUCGUAGUCCGGAUUGUUCUCUGCAACUCGAGAGCAUGAAGUCGGAAUCGCUAGUAAUCGUGGAUCAGCAUGUCACGGUGGAUACGUUCCCGGGUCUU